RNAcentral lists this ribosomal RNA (510 nucleotides) under uncultured bacterium. RNAcentral's name for it is "partial 16S ribosomal RNA". It matches the Rfam family "Bacterial small subunit ribosomal RNA", at positions 28 to 507 of the family's 1533-position model. The record is from RNAcentral.
GACGAACGCUGGCGGCGUGCUUAACACAUGCAAGUCGAACGAAGAGCGAUGGAAGCUUGCUUCUAUCAAUCUUAGUGGCGAACGGGUGAGUAACGCGUAAUCAACCUGCCCUUCAGAGGGGGACAACAGUUGGAAACGACUGCUAAUACCGCAUACGAUCUGACCUCGGCAUCGAGGAUAGAUGAAAGGUGGCCUCUAUUUAUAAGCUAUCACUGAAGGAGGGGAUUGCGUCUGAUUAGCUAGUUGGAGGGGUAACGGCCCACCAAGGCGAUGAUCAGUAGCCGGUCUGAGAGGAUGAACGGCCACAUUGGGACUGAGACACGGCCCAGACUCCUACGGGAGGCAGCAGUGGGGAAUCUUCCGCAAUGGACGAAAGUCUGACGGAGCAACGCCGCGUGAGUGAUGACGGCCUUCGGGUUGUAAAGCUCUGUUAAUCGGGACGAAAGGCCUUCUUGCGAAUAGUUAGAAGGAUUGACGGUACCGGAAUAGAAAGCCACGGCUAACUACGUG